Molecule: ribosomal RNA, 1643 nt
Filed under: metagenome
Description: bacterial LSU rRNA
Rfam family: Bacterial large subunit ribosomal RNA
Source: RNAcentral
GUAAGGAGCUGUGGACUUCUAGGAAGAGAGAAUGCCGGAAUGAGUAGCGAGAGUAAGGUGAGAAUCCUUACGGCCGAAUAUCUAAGGUUUCCAGAGUAAAGCUGAUCUGCCCUGGGUAAGUCGGGACCUAAGGCGAGGACGAAAGUCGUAGUCGAUGGAUAACAGGUGGAGAUUCCUGUACUCCGUAUAAACAGAACUGUGGGGACACGGGUGGAAAGCCUGACCCGGGAAUGGAAAGACCGGGACAAGCGAGGUACCUGAGAAGGAGGCAAACCCCCUUAUCAAUGGGAAGACGUGAUGUGGAGCGAACCAAAGGGUAGCGAAGCAGGUGAGCCAGCCGUCGAGAAAAGCCGCUAUUGUUUUGUACGGACCCGUACCGUAAACCGACACAGGUGGAUGAGGAGAGAAUCCUAAGGCCGACGGGAGAAGCAUUGUUAAGGAACUCGGCAAAAUGACCCCGUAACUUCGGGAGAAGGGGUGCCUGAGGAAUCAGGCCGCAGAGAAUAGGUCCAAGCAACUGUUUAGCAAAAACACAGGUCUAUGCGAAACCGAAAGGUGAAGUAUAUGGGCUGACGCCUGCCCGGUGCUGGAAGGUUACGAGGAGUGCUUAGAGGCUUGCCUCGAAGGUGCGAAUUUAAGCCCCAGUAAACGGCGGCCGUAACUAUAACGGUCCUAAGGUAGCGAAAUUCCUUGUCGGGUAAGUUCCGACCGCACGAAAGGCGUAAUGAUUUGGACGCUGUCUCGACAAUGCACCCGGUGAAAUUGAAAUACCAGUGAAGAUGCUGGUUACCCGCGCCAGGACGGAAAGACCCCAUGGAGCUUUACUCUAGUUUGAUACUGGGAUUCGGUACUGCAUGUACAGGAUAGGUGGGAGACUGUGAAUCUGUGACGCCAGUUGCAGAGGAGUCAAUGUUGGGAUACCACCCUUGUAGUAUUGGAUUUCUAACCAACAGCCGUGAACCGGCUGGGGGACAAUGUCAGGCGGGGAGUUUGACUGGGGCGGUCGCCUCCGAAAGGGUAUCGGAGGCGCUCAAAGGUUCCCUCAGAAUGGCGGAAACCAUUCGAAGGGUGCAAAGGCAGAAGGGAGCUUGACUGCGACACCGACGGGUGGAGCAGGUAGGAAACUAGGACUUAGUGAUCCGGUGGUAUGAAAGUGGGAUUGCCAUCGCUCAACGGAUAAAAGCUACCCUGGAUAACAGGCUUAUCACUCCCAAGAGUUCACAUCGACGGAGUGGUUUUGGCACCUCGAUGUCGGCUCAUCGCAUCCUGGGGCUGUAGUAGGUCCCAAGGGUUGGGCUGUUCGCCCAUUAAAGAGGUACGCGAGCUGGGUUCAGAACGUCGUGAGACAGUUCGGUCCCUAUCCGGCGCGGGCGUAGGAUAUUUGAGAGGAGCUGCCCUUAGUACGAGAGGACCGGGGUGGACUGGCCUCUGGUGUACCGGUUGUAUUACCAAAUGCAUAGCCGGGUAGCCAAGCCGGGACGGGAUAAACGCUGAAGGCAUCUAAGCGUGAAGCCCCCCUCAAGAUAAGAUAUCCCUGACAAUAAGUCAAUAAGACCCCUUGAAGACGACGAGGUAGAUAGGUCCGAGGUGGAAGUGCAGUAAUGUAUGCAGCUGACGGAUACUAAUAGGUCGAAGGCUUGACC